Molecule: ribosomal RNA, 249 nt
Filed under: uncultured bacterium
Lineage: Bacteria
Description: partial 16S ribosomal RNA
Rfam family: Bacterial small subunit ribosomal RNA
Source: RNAcentral
GAUCCUGGCUCAGAUUGAACGCUGGCGGCAGGCUUAACACAUGCAAGUCGAACGGUAGCAGGUAAGUACUUGUACUUAUGCUGACGAGUGGCGGACGGGUGAGUAAUGCUUGGGGAUCUGGCUUAUGGAGGGGGAUAACGACGGGAAACUGUCGCUAAUACCGCGUAGAAUCGAGAGAUGAAAGUGUGGGACCUUCGGGCCACAUGCCAUAGGAUGAACCCAAGUGGGAUUAGGUAGUUGGUAGGGUAA